AGAGUUUGAUCCUGGCUCAGGAUGAACGCUAGCGAUAGGCCUAACACAUGCAAGUCGAGGGGCAGCGAUGGUAGCAAUACCAGUCGGCGACCGGCGGAUGGGUGAGUAACACGUAUGCAACCUGCCUCCAACAUUGGAAUAACCCGUUGAAAGACGGACUAAUGCCUUAUAACACAGGGGCGCCGCAUGGCGAUAUUUGUUAAAGAUUUUAUCGGUUGAAGAUGGGCAUGCGCAUGAUUAGUUAGUCGGUAAGGUAACGGCUUACCAAGACAACGAUCAUUAGGGGUUCUGAGAGGAAGGUCCCCCACACUGGUACUGAGACACGGACCAGACUCCUACGGGAGGCAGCAGUGAGGAAUAUUGGUCAAUGAGCGAGAGCUUGAAUCAGCCACGUCGCGUGCAGGAAGAAUGUCUUAUGGAUUGUAAACUGCUUUUUCGGUAGAGUAAUGUGCGUCACGUGUGACGUAUUGCAAGUAUACCGAGAAUAAGGAUCGGCUAACUCCGUGCCAGCAGCCGCGGUAAUACGGAGGAUCCGAGCGUUAUCCGGAUUUAUUGGGUUUAAAGGGUACGUAGGCGGGAUGAUAAGUCAGCGGUGAAAUUUUGCAGCUUAACUGUAAGCUUGCCGUUGAAACUAUUAUUCUUGAGUGUAGAUAAGGUAGGCGGAAUGUGUUGUGUAGCGGUGAAAUGCUUAGAUAUAACACAGAACACCAAUUGCGAAGGCAGCUUACCGGGUUACCACUGACGCUGAGGUACGACAGCGUGGGGAUCAAACAGGAUUAGAUACCCUGGUAGUCCACGCCGUAAACGAUGAAUACUCGCUGUUUGUGAUAUAGUGCAAGCGGCCAAGCGAAAGCAAUAAGUAUUCCACCUGGGGAGUACGUUCGCAAGAAAGAAAUUCAAAGGAAUUGACGGGGGCCCGCACAAGCGGAGGAACAUGUGGUUUAAUUCGAUGAUACGCGAGGAACCUUACCUGGGCGUAAAUGUAUAGUGCAUAAUAUGGAAACAUAUUUUUCCUUCGGGACUCUUUACAAGGUGCUGCAUGGUUGUCGUCAGCUCGUGCCGUGAGGUGUCGGGUUAAGUCCCAUAACGAGCGCAACCCUCAUCGCCAGUUGCCAGCACGUAAUGAUGGGGAGUCUGGUGAAACUGCCGGUGUAAACCGUGAGGAAGGUGGGGAGGACGUCAAAUCAGCACGGCCCUUAUGUCCAGGGCUACACACGUGUUACAAUGGCCAAUACAAAGGGCAGCCACCCGGCGACGGGGGGGUAAUCCAUAAAGAUGGUCUUAGUUCGGAUCGGAGUGUGCAACUCGACUCCGCGAAGCUGGAUUCGCUAGUAAUCGUAGAUCAGCCAUGCU
RNAcentral lists this ribosomal RNA (1353 nucleotides) under uncultured bacterium. RNAcentral describes it as "16S ribosomal RNA". It matches the Rfam family "Bacterial small subunit ribosomal RNA", at positions 8 to 1358 of the family's 1533-position model. The record is from RNAcentral.